UUACGGCCAUAUCACGUUGAAACAUUGGUUCCCUGACGAUCACCGAAGUUAAGCAACAUAGAACCUAGUCUGUACCUAGAUGGGUGACCGCUUUGGAAAUACCAGUUGCUGUAA
Non-coding RNA from Acanthosepion pharaonis, 114 nucleotides. NCBI's taxonomy places the organism in Eukaryota, Metazoa, Mollusca, Cephalopoda, Sepiida, Sepiidae. The record is from the annotation of a GenBank genome assembly.